CUAACUACGUGCCAGCAGCCGCGGUAAUACGUAGGGUGCGAGCGUUAUCCGGAAUUAUUGGGCGUAAAGAGCUCGUAGGCGGUUUGUCGCGUCUGUCGUGAAAGUCCGGGGCUUAACCCCGGAUCUGCGGUGGGUACGGGCAGACUAGAGUGCAGUAGGGGAGACUGGAAUUCCUGGUGUAGCGGUGGAAUGCGCAGAUAUCAGGAGGAACACCGAUGGCGAAGGCAGGUCUYUGGGCUGUAACUGACGCUGAGGAGCGAAAGCAUGGGGAGCGAACAGGAUUAGAUACCCUGGUAGUCCAUGCCGUAAACGUUGGGCACUAGGUGUGGGGACCAUUCCACGGUUUCCGCGCCGCAGCUAACGCAUUAAGUGCCCCGCCUGGGGAGUACGGCCGCAAGGCUAAAACUCAAAGGAAUUGACGGGGGCCCGCACAAGCGGCGGAGCAUGCGGAUUAAUUCGAUGCAACGCGAAGAACCUUACCAAGGCUUGACAUGUUCCCGAUCGCCGUAGAGAUACGGUUUCCCCUUUGGGGCGGGUUCACAGGUGGUGCAUGGUUGUCGUCAGCUCGUGUCGUGAGAUGUUGGGUUAAGUCCCGCAACGAGCGCAACCCUCGUUCCAUGUUGCCAGCACGUAAUGGUGGGGACUCAUGGGAGACUGCCGGGGUCAACUCGGAGGAAGGUGAGGACGACGUCAAAUCAUCAUGCCCCUUAUGUCUUGGGCUUCACGCAUGCUACAAUGGCCGGUACAAUGGGUUGCGAUACUGUGAGGUGGAGCUAAUCCCAAAAAGCCGGUCUCAGUUSGGAUUGGGGUCUGCAACUCGACCCCAUGAAGUCGGAGUCGCUAGUAAUCGCAGAU
RNAcentral lists this ribosomal RNA (855 nucleotides) under Micrococcus sp. Leo. Its description in RNAcentral is "bacterial SSU rRNA". It matches the Rfam family "Bacterial small subunit ribosomal RNA", at positions 497 to 1349 of the family's 1533-position model. The record is from RNAcentral. Lineage: Bacteria; Bacillati; Actinomycetota; Actinomycetes; Micrococcales; Micrococcaceae.